RNAcentral lists this transfer RNA (73 nucleotides) under Camelus bactrianus (Bactrian camel). It matches the Rfam family "tRNA". From Rfam's summary of the family: Transfer RNA (tRNA) molecules are approximately 80 nucleotides in length. Their secondary structure includes four short double-helical elements and three loops (D, anti-codon, and T loops). The record is from Rfam by way of RNAcentral. RNAcentral also lists the same sequence under 2 other names. Lineage: Eukaryota; Metazoa; Chordata; Mammalia; Artiodactyla; Camelidae.
GGGGUUAUAGCUCAGUGGUAGAGCUGCAUGCUUAGCAUGCAUGAGGUCCUGGGUUCAGUCCCCAGUACCUCCC